GGCAAGCACGACGCGGGAGGGGACACGAGCGCGCGGGGAGAGCGCGGCCACCCGAAGGUGAGGGACGGGGGAGGCGCGGCGGGAGGGCGCCCGCGGCGGUCUGCGCGGCUGGGCGACGGGCAGAGCGGACCCUCCCGCGGGCACCCGCCCCCGGGCCCGAGGGGCUCCCGGCCUAGAAGUCCUCGUCCUCCACCCAUCCAAAGACCCGCUUCAUCUCGGCCAGGAAGCCCCGGUAAUCGUUGAGGAGGGGGCUCUGCUUCCUGAUGUAGGGGAUCACCCACUGCAGGGCCGGCCCGGUGAGGCGGGUGAUGAGGAACGUCACCUUCAGGCUGUCGUUGGAGAACAGGGUCUCGUCCACGAGCAUGUAGGCGCCCGUCUGCACGAUAAACUCCGGGAGCCGGUCGGUGUCGCCGUCAAACGUCUCGGGGAAGGGGAUCGGGUUCCUCCACCGACGCGUCUGGGGCCGGAUGGUGUAUCCUUUGCAAACCCUCGGACCUGGACACCGUUUGGUGCGCUUCUGUGGGCACAUUCCCCUACUGAUUCAUGCAUCUGUCAACUGAAGUAUCACGCCGCUGGUUGUAGGUAUGGUUGUCUUGCACCAUCAUGGGAAACCCCAGCUAUUAGUGGGCAUAAUUCAGAGAAGCAUAUUCAUAGAGUAAUGCACCAUGACAAGUGAACUUAAAGAGGGUUAAAUGAUAAGAAAUCUCUUAAUUUGGUAUAUUAUGGUACCGAAGUAGACUAUUAGUAUAGAAACUGAAAGACAAAAGUGAGAGGUGUUGGAUGUUUUCUAAGUAUGACAUUAUACAUCUCCAUACUUGAGAAUAAUGGAAAGAAAUAACUAAGACAUUAACCAAUUGAAGAAGGGAAAACGAAGUAUUACAGGUUAUAUUUGAAUUCAUUUGUAUGGCUGAGUACAAAAUUGAUAUAAAUUCUUCACAGGCUUUCAUAUAUGCAGAGAAUAAUCGGUUAAAAUAGAUAAUGCUAUUAAUGACUUAAUUCAGAAAAGCAGUUAAAAAGAAGUAGUUCCUAGGAAUAUACUUGAAAAAUCGUAAAAUCCACUUAACAUUUUGAAAUGCCAAAUAGGGGAUAUAAAAGAAUACUCAAGAGAACACAAAUGCAUACCCAGGUCUGAAAUAGGGUGGCCCAGCAUCUUAAAGAUGUUGAUUUUCCCUGUGUGAGGAGAGAAGAGGAGGUGGGACUUAGGUGCUGCCUCAGAGGUUGUACAUGCUGCCUCAGUAGCUGGAGAAGCUGAAGGGUAGACCCAGCUGGAGGUGGUGGUGGGGGGGAGCUACAGAGCCAGCUGCUGCCCCAGCCCAACAAGGUGACAGCCAAUUUGCCUCUACCUGCCUGAGUUGUUAUAGUGCUUGGUGACACUGUGACCUUCAAGGGCAAACUAUCUUUUAUGGACCUAGCUAAUCCAGAAUUAUUCACAAGUAAAAAAAAUUCCAAGUAUAUGAAACACUAAUUUUAUGACACUAGAUAUCAUGCAGUCAGGGUGAAGUUCCCUAAGGGUGAAAAAAACACUUAAAGCGAACCCUAGUGCUGCCUCAGCUUACUGUCAGGAGCAAACCUCCAGCCUGCCUGCUGGUCUAUUUGUUGGCAUUUGCUGGUAUCACGUGGAAAGCAGAUGUGAGAAAUCCUCCAAGACUCCCAAAGCUGUCUCUUGGUUCUUGCCCUGUAGGUCCUACCUUUCUAUUGAGGGUGUUUAACGCCUCCCUCCUGUUAUAUUUCUUUCCCCAGAUCCAGGUCCCCUCCAUCCAGACUUGACACCUCUGAUUGCCACUUAGUCCCUCUGGGGAAGUUAGCAUGGGAGGGUGACAGAGCCCUCCCAGGUCUGUGGAUAGUGACAGCUCAGGGGGAAGCUGAGGGAAGAUACCAUUGGGCAGCCAAUGGAUCCAAGCAUCCAAGCCACAUCUGAGUUGUGACAAAGAUUCAUUCCUAGCUUCACAGCACAUGCUUGGGAAGGCCAUCUGUUGCCACCUGUGGCUGGAGUAGGUGGAAAUGGAACCUGGUUGGCAAUAAUACCCCAACUGUCACUGACCAUCUGCUCAUGUAACGCCUCAGUCCCUUACAAACUGCUCACCACCCAGAAGAGAAUUUCUUAGAAUCUCUGGAGAGAGACACACACUACGGGGACAGUAUACUGGUUGGGGUGAGGGUGAGCAUAGCUGAGUGGGAGUAGCUCACACCCUAAUGCGUGACUUAUUCUUUAAUACAGAGACCUUUAAUAAUAGGGAUAUAAAUAAAGCUCCAGCUGCAAUGGGAGAGUAGGGGAGC
Molecule: long non-coding RNA, 2277 nt
Filed under: Sus scrofa (pig)
Lineage: Eukaryota; Metazoa; Chordata; Mammalia; Artiodactyla; Suidae
Description: lncRNA (ENSSSCG00060037512.1)
Source: RNAcentral